CAACACUUUGCCACCUUGCUCCUCCUCCAAAGCAAAAGGUGUUGGGGAAAAAACAAAACAAAGCAUGGAGAAAAAAGGGAACACAAUCACAACACAAGAAUAUAAAGUGGAAGCUCCAAAACUGGAGAUAAAACCAUGGUUGUUGUCAAUAGACAACCAAAGAAUAACACUAUGUAAAAAUUAUUACAACACAUAAUAUACCCUCAACUAGCCCAGAC
RNAcentral lists this long non-coding RNA (218 nucleotides) under Lathyrus oleraceus (garden pea). RNAcentral's name for it is "Pisum sativum (pea) long non-coding RNA (PSAT_LNC026602)". The record is from RNAcentral. Lineage: Eukaryota; Viridiplantae; Streptophyta; Magnoliopsida; Fabales; Fabaceae.